GAGAGCUAAUCGGACGAGGUGUAGCACUAUGACAACAACUAACGUGGUCAGGUUUACUGUUGUUAAUGGUGUGAGUAAUGUUGUGGGCCUUCCUCCCCCCUCCUGGCCUUGUUAAGGUGAUAACAAGACACAGUGAGGAGGAGAUGUUACAACAAAACUUUGGGAAAUUAAACUGAUCCAUAACAGAUGAAAAUGAUAACUGGAGCAUGGAACAAGAGCUCCCACCACCACUAUCACCACUACUAGCACCACCACCUAUGGCAAGAUGAGUUAACAACUAAACCUUGUGAAAUUAACAACUGGAGCAUGGAAACACUGCUGUUACAGGUAUGUCUUUAUGUCUGUCUAACUGUCUAUCUGUAUCU
Homarus americanus (American lobster) is the source of this 365-nucleotide long non-coding RNA. RefSeq lists it as uncharacterized. The record is from RefSeq and is a predicted model, not a curated record. NCBI's taxonomy places the organism in Eukaryota, Metazoa, Arthropoda, Malacostraca, Decapoda, Nephropidae. The transcript has 3 exons.